GACGAACGCUGGCGGCGUGCUUAACACAUGCAAGUCGAACGGAAAGGCCCUGCUUUUGUGGGGUGCUCGAGUGGCGAACGGGUGAGUAACACGUGAGUAACCUGCCCCUGACUUUGGGAUAACUUCAGGAAACUGGGGCUAAUACCGGCUAGGAUCUCCUGCUGCAUGGUGGGGGUUGGAAAGUUUCGGCGGUUGGGGAUGGACUCGCGGCUUAUCAGCUUGUUGGUGGGGUAGUGGCUUACCAAGGCCUUGACGGGUAGCAGGCCUGCGAGGGUGAGCGGCCACAUUGGGACUGAGAUACGGCCCAGACUCCUACGGGAGGCAGCAGUGGAGAAUAUUGCACAAUGGGCGGAAGCCUGAUGCAGCAACGCCGCGUGCGGGAUGACGGCCUUCGGGUUGUAAACCGCUUUCGCCUGUGACGAAGCGUGAGUGACGGUAAUGGGUAAAGAAGCACCGGCUAACUACGUG
RNAcentral lists this ribosomal RNA (468 nucleotides) under uncultured bacterium. RNAcentral describes it as "partial 16S ribosomal RNA". It matches the Rfam family "Bacterial small subunit ribosomal RNA", at positions 28 to 507 of the family's 1533-position model. The record is from RNAcentral.